Molecule: long non-coding RNA, 1851 nt
Filed under: Acyrthosiphon pisum (pea aphid)
Lineage: Eukaryota; Metazoa; Arthropoda; Insecta; Hemiptera; Aphididae
Description: uncharacterized LOC115033703
Source: RNAcentral
UACUCAAGUGCAGUUUUUAAUUACAUAUUAUUUAUAAUAAAUAAAAAUAAAUACUAAAUAGAAUAAUAAAAUACCAACAAUCAUAAUUGUUAGAAAUAAGCUUUUAAAACCAAAUGCAUUAGUUCCAUUCAUAAAAUUAAUAGUUCUUACAAUAUAUUAUAGUAAUAUAAAUUUCUAAGAAUAUAAUAUAAUUGUAAAAUAAAAAUGACCAGGAGAAUAUAUUAGAGCUAAAUAUAGUGUCAGUAAAUAUUUAAUAGAAUAUUGAAAAAUAUAAUAAUUACCAUACAUGUUGUAUCCGAUAUUUACCUAAUUAUAAUUAAAUAUUCUUAAUUGUCAUAUAGUGUGCUCUACUCCUUAUAAGUUAUAAACAAUACACAUUUUAUGUAACACAAAUUUCUUACUAUGCCUGUAUAAUAUAAUUUUACACUUCAUGGUUAAUUUCACUGAAUAUAAGUAUAAUAAUAUAUUCCUAUUUUCUAAUUUAUUCAAUACUCAAAUACAUCUUCUUAUGUGUUUCUUUAAAUACUACUAAAUUUGUUAAUUGUAUAUAAGUUUAAAUAUGUUAUAUUCAGAUAAUUUUAAUAGUAUUAACAACAUUAAUGUUAUAAAUUUAUAAAAUUUAAGUUCAGAUACUAGCUGUUUAUGAUAAGUUCUUACAGUAAUUAUUACUUUUAAUCUGUUAAAAGUUAUUAUAAAUAUAUACUUAAUGGCUAAUAGAAUAGUUUGAAUAAAUACUGAGAAAAUAAAAAAUAAUGAUAGUAGCAGUUUAUGUUAAUAGUUUUAAACAUAAUUAUAUAAUUAAUUUAUUGUUUAUUUCUAAUUUCUAAUUAUUUUCUAGUGUAUUUAAAAUAUUUGUAUCCAACAUUUUAUAUAGCAUUGCAAGUAUAAAAUAUUAUUAUUCAAAUUAUAUACCAAAUAAUAAUACAGUACGUUUGAAAAUUUUUUUUUUAUAUUUAUAAGCAACAUGUAAUAUUAAGGGCCAGUUGUAUCAUCUCCAAUGAAAGUUAACCGGAGUUCAAUUAUCCGAAUUUUCCCGGUUAAAUAAUCUGUUAUCAGUUGAUUAAACGUAAUCAAAGUUUAACCGUAGAUGGUAUAACUGCCCCUUAGUUUAAAUAAAGCUGUUGUAUAUAAUAAACAGAACAUUUUUAAAAUAAUUUUUCACUUGUACAUAUAGAUAUUAGCGACUUAUGGACAUUUACUCCUAUUUGAAACUAUUCAAAUUAGUUUUAUUUGCUUUCUUACGAUUACAUUGAAUUGUUUACACAUUUUAAUUUUAAAACUCAAUGUUUUUUAAAAACAAAUGUUUACUUAUUUGAUGUAAAAAAUUUGUCAGCUAUUAUUUCUAAAGAUGUCAAUAGAACAUUUAGACAAUUUUGUUUAUUAUAUAUGCUUAUACCAUUUAAUAAGUUCAUUUAUGAUAAAAAUUUUUUAAUUUUAAAUAAAUUAUAGGUUUGGUAAAAGUACCUAUGUUAUUUAUUUUUAAGAGUUUGUAUGUAUCAUUGAUAUUUGAAUCAAGCAAUUGAUUUUUGUGUUGAUGUAUUGUUUUAUAUUGUGUUCUAUGAGUUCAACUUAUUUUUGGAAUGUUACUGGAGUGAGUCUAUAAGGGAUUUGUUUUUUUUCAAUGAUGUUAUAAACUACAAUCAAGAGUGACUACGGGGUGAUUUGAAAAAAAAAAAUUAUGGCAUAAUAUGGUAAGCCGCAUAAUAUAUUAUAAAUAACAUACGGGUAUACAGUUUAAAAAAUAUCAAUGAAGCAAUGACUAAAUACAUUAUGUGUAUGAAAAUACCACGUAAUAUUUGAUUAAUAAACUUUUUGUGAUUUUUUUUUAAGAAAUAAAUUUGUUAUGCAUUA